GGCUGGUUAGCUAUGUUGGUUAAAGCUUGGUGCUAAUAACACCAAGGUUGUAGUUUCAACCCCUGUAUGGGGCA
Molecule: transfer RNA, 74 nt
Filed under: Bos taurus (domestic cattle)
Lineage: Eukaryota; Metazoa; Chordata; Mammalia; Artiodactyla; Bovidae
Also listed under: 1 other name
Rfam family: tRNA
About the family: Transfer RNA (tRNA) molecules are approximately 80 nucleotides in length. Their secondary structure includes four short double-helical elements and three loops (D, anti-codon, and T loops).
Source: Rfam by way of RNAcentral